UUGAACGCUGGCGGCAGGCCUAACACAAGCAAGGCGAGCGGAUGAAGGGAGCUUGCUGCUGGGUUCAGCGGCGGACGGGGGAGUAAUGCCUAGGAAUCUGCCUGGUAGUGAGGGAUAACGUCCGGAAACGGGCGCUAAUACCGCAUACGUCCGGAGUGAGAAAGUGGGGGGUCUUCGGACCUCACGCGAUCAGAUGAGCCUCGGUCGGAUGAGCUAGUUGGGGGGGUAAAGGCCUACCAAGGCGACGAUCCGUCACGGGUCUGGGAGGAGGAUCAGUCCCACUGGAACUGGGCCACGGUCCUGGCUCCUGCGGGAGGGCGCAGUGGCGAAUAUUGGACAGCGGGCGAAAGCCUGAUCCAGCCAUGCCGCGUGUGUGAAGAAGGUCUUCGGAUUGUAAAGCCCUUUAAGUUGGGAGGAAGGGCAGUAAGUUAAUACCUUGCUGUUUUGACGUUACCAACAGAAUAAGCACCGGCUAACUUCGUG
Molecule: ribosomal RNA, 483 nt
Filed under: uncultured bacterium
Lineage: Bacteria
Description: partial 16S ribosomal RNA
Rfam family: Bacterial small subunit ribosomal RNA
Source: RNAcentral